This is a non-coding RNA of Pelobates cultripes (western spadefoot toad), 339 nucleotides long. NCBI's taxonomy places the organism in Eukaryota, Metazoa, Chordata, Amphibia, Anura, Pelobatidae. The record is from the annotation of a GenBank genome assembly.
UUGAAGAACAGGAUAAAGUGUUCUUGAUUUUAAAUCUCCUUCCAUUAACCGUACUCACAAAGCUCGUGAUGCUGUUGUAUUUAUAGUUACAACUAACACAACUCCCGCAUGUGUAGUAACCUUCUUUACGUUUUGUUUUGCUCUUUCUAGAUCUAAAAGUACUUGGUGCUAGAAUUUGCUUUAAAUUGACUCCUCUCCUAAAAAUAACUUUGGGUAAAAGAGGAAUCUGUUGAUUGAGAUAUUCAUCCUCUAUUAAUAACCCCCAAUGUUUUUUAAAGAUCCUCUGUAUAUCAAAGGCCUUAGAGCUAUAUUGCGUGUUAAAGGAAAAAUCAAAUACAG